UGAUAAUGAUAUAAUAGCUAGGAGCCAAACAAAGCUCUUUUUUCAUUAAAGUAUGCUUGAUA
This 62-nucleotide small RNA is filed under the name Salix viminalis (osier). Lineage: Eukaryota; Viridiplantae; Streptophyta; Magnoliopsida; Malpighiales; Salicaceae. The record is from RNAcentral.